Non-coding RNA from Cinara cedri, 606 nucleotides. NCBI's taxonomy places the organism in Eukaryota, Metazoa, Arthropoda, Insecta, Hemiptera, Aphididae. The record is from the annotation of a GenBank genome assembly.
AUUAGCCAAAUCCAUUUGGCUAAUACUCUACAAAAAAAAUUACUUCGCUAUUCAAUCCGAAUAGAAGAAAGAGCUUGUACUACCGAAGGGUGUGCCACAGUUGUAUAGGUAAGAAUUUGGUAUGGUAAGAUACAUAGAACAGUAUAAUUUAUAUCUUUUUUUGACAAUAAAUCACUAUUAUAACGAAAAACAAUUCCUAGUGGAAUUUGGUUAUAAAAUCCUUUGUGUUGAAUUUCCGAGCGUAGUUACUGGACCGAAACAAUUCUACUUAAUCAAAUAAAAACUAACUAAAAAACACGACAUUUUUAGUAGCUACAGUAGCGCAAUUAGUGGAGGUCUAAGGGACUAAGACCUUUGGGUCGUCUAAGGCCUUCUAAGUGAGGAAGCAACCAGAGCUCUGUCAAUCACAUUUAAUUAAGAUUAUAGUAGGGCUCAAGACCGACACCCCUCCCCAAUAAAUAAACAGCUAAUUGCAGCACUGAAUGAGUAGAUGUAUGUAGGUAGCUCAAAAAUUGCCAGAAAGUUUUUCCACGUCCAGAAAGUGUUUAUAUAGGUAAGUAUUUUGUGAAAAUGUUACGUUUUUACGAUUAUCUCUAUACAAUUUAA